Molecule: small nuclear RNA, 108 nt
Filed under: Capra hircus (goat)
Lineage: Eukaryota; Metazoa; Chordata; Mammalia; Artiodactyla; Bovidae
Source: RNAcentral
GUGCUCACUUCAGCAGCACAUAUACUAAAAAUUGGAACAAUACAGAGAAGAUUAGCAUGGCUCCUGCGCAAGGAUAACACGCAAAUUCAUGAAGCAUUCCAUAUUUUU